This is a non-coding RNA of Triticum urartu, 1270 nucleotides long. The record is from RefSeq and is a predicted model, not a curated record. Lineage: Eukaryota; Viridiplantae; Streptophyta; Magnoliopsida; Poales; Poaceae.
AUAAGCUGCACGUUUCCUUGCAUUGUACUCCGCCCUUGCAUUAUCCGCGUAUUUUUUGCAUUCAUUAUUUAAUGAUAGAGUUUCAUGAUGUUCGGAAGCAGUGUCGUCUGCAUGUAUAAAUACAAAUAAGAAAACAAAUAAAACGACGGUUGGGAAGGUGGAUAUCAUGCCUAUGGAUACCUUGAGAAUUAUCUCGUAGCUGCAUGUUAUGAAUGGCAUGAUGGAGUGUUAGGCUAGCCGUAGGUGUUAAUGUUUGACCAUCAUCAUGGUACCCAGGCCUUACCCUUUCCGGUCCUUCUGUAGAGUAUAGUAAGCAUGAAUACAACUUCAAUAUUUGUCUGGUAUGCACGCAAUCAAUCAUGUACCUGUCUCCGUCGUGUAAAAAGGAUCAACAUCUGCAGCUAUGGAUAUGAUGUUUGGAUUACCAUCUUUCAUUUUUGUCACGCUCGUAGGUGCUGCAAGACAUUAAGCAUGGUACAAGUCAUUGUUAGACUUGCACGUCAGGCAUCACAUCACAGUAUUUUCACAGUUUAUAUACCUGGUUCAAUCGCGCGAAUAGCAUCUACUUGUUCAUCAACGGGUAUCAAGUUUGCGUUGUAUUCUUUAGCAUGUUUUACGCUCGUCUGAUCUGCAACACAUUAUGCAAGAAGCGUAAUUAGCAGAAAAGCAAGUAUUCAUAGUACAGUGAACACCACCUGUAGCUAUGCCGUCUUCUUGUUCAUGUUCACCGGCUUUGCUUCUUGCAUUACCCAUUCGCAAAUGAAAUGACCGCUGGCUCUGGUGUUUUUGAGGCCUGGGAGAUGAUCAGAUGGAUAUAAUGGAUGCAACAUGAACGCAAGAGAUAUGGCGAACUUGAAGGCAUGAAUAAGAAGACACAUGAGAACCUGGAACACAUAGCAAUGAUGGAGAGGGUUUUGGGACCCGUACCAGAGCACAUGAUACGGAACGCUAGGAUUACUUUUAGAACCAAACCCUUAUUAUUGGGCUUGUUUCUCAAGAGAAUGGCAGUAUCUCCACUUGUAUCCUGGAAGUCCAGGGUUUGAGUCAGUAUCCUUAAAAAAUCAAACAAGGGAAAUGUUGGGUAAGAACCUAAUAAUUCCCUUUCCCAGGACCCCACAACAAGUGGGAGCUUUUGAUUCUGGGAUAACCUUUGGUUAUAUUUUUGAGAGUGAAAUAUAUAUCAUUCUCCUUUGCACUAAAUCUUCUGCAUCAAAUGUUUUGAAGAACUCUGGCACGUCCUACCUGCAAAGAAAUAUUUCUUUUAUUUUUA